GAACUGAAGAGUUUGAUCCUGGCUCAGAUUGAACGCUGGCGGAAUGCUUUACACAUGCAAGUCGAGCGGCAGCGCGGGGGCAACCCUGGCGGCGAGCGGCGAACGGGUGAGUAAUGUAUCGGAACGUACCCAGUCGUGGGGGAUAACUAUCCGAAAGGAUAGCUAAUACCGCAUACGUCCUGAGGGAGAAAGCGGGGGACCGUAAGGCCUCGCGCGAUUGGAGCGGCCGAUAUCGGAUUAGCUAGUUGGUGAGGUAAAGGCUCACCAAGGCGACGAUCUGUAGCGGGUCUGAGAGGAUGAUCCGCCACACUGGAACUGAGACACGGUCCAGACUCCUACGGGAGGCAGCAGUGGGGAAUUUUGGACAAUGG
RNAcentral lists this ribosomal RNA (371 nucleotides) under Sulfuritalea sp. RNAcentral describes it as "bacterial SSU rRNA". It matches the Rfam family "Bacterial small subunit ribosomal RNA", at positions 1 to 374 of the family's 1533-position model. Lineage: Bacteria; Pseudomonadati; Pseudomonadota; Betaproteobacteria; Nitrosomonadales; Sterolibacteriaceae. The record is from RNAcentral.